UGGUGCAUGUGGUAAAGCUGAAUAUGAAGUGGAUGGAGAAUGUUGUUCUAUGUGUGAGCCCGGAUAUCAUGUGGACAAACAUUGUACUGAUGAUACAUCUACAUCAUGUAUACCCUGUUCUCCAUCUACUUUCACUGAUUUACCCAAUGGACUAAUGCGCUGUUUCCAAUGUACAGUCUGUGAUCCCAUGGAAGGGUUAAGAACAAAGACAGAGUGCACAUCUACUGCAGACACCAUCUGUGAACCACUUAAAGGAUAUUACUGCAUCGACCAACACAAGCACAGCUGUAGAGCAGCUGUUGAAUAUUCAAAAUAAUCCUGGAUAAUUCAUGUGGGAAAAAUAUCGCUUUGCUUUAUGGCUGUAACUUUUAGAAUGAAAAUGUGUCUCAUGAGUAUU
This is a long non-coding RNA of Chanos chanos (milkfish), 397 nucleotides long. RefSeq lists it as uncharacterized. Lineage: Eukaryota; Metazoa; Chordata; Actinopteri; Gonorynchiformes; Chanidae. The record is from RefSeq and is a predicted model, not a curated record. The transcript is spliced from 3 exons.